RNAcentral lists this ribosomal RNA (780 nucleotides) under uncultured bacterium. Its description in RNAcentral is "bacterial SSU rRNA". It matches the Rfam family "Bacterial small subunit ribosomal RNA", at positions 8 to 796 of the family's 1533-position model. The record is from RNAcentral.
AGAGUUUGAUCCUGGCUCAGGAUGAACGCUAGCGGCAGGCCUAAUACAUGCAAGUCGAACGGGUGUAGCAAUACACUAGUGGCGCACGGGUGCGUAACGCGUAACCAACCUACCUACAUCUGGGGGAUAGCCCGCCGAAAGGCGGAUUAAUACCGCAUACACCUACUGCCUGGCAUCAGGGAGUAGGUAAAGAUUUAUUGGAUGUAGAUGGGGUUGCGUAGCAUUAGCUAGAUGGCGGGGUAAGGGCCCACCAUGGCGACGAUGCUUAGGGGACCUGAGAGGGUGAUCCCCCACACUGGCACUGAGAUACGGGCCAGACUCCUACGGGAGGCAGCAGUAGGGAAUAUUGGGCAAUGGGCGAGAGCCUGACCCAGCCAUGCCGCGUGCCGGAUGAAGGCCUUCUGGGUUGUAAACGGCUUUUCUUAGGGAAGAAAAAGACCUUGCGAGGUACACUGACGGUACCUAAGGAAUAAGCACCGGCUAACUCCGUGCCAGCAGCCGCGGUAAUACGGAGGGUGCAAGCGUUGUCCGGAUUUAUUGGGUUUAAAGGGUGCGUAGGUGGCCUGUUAAGUCCGGGGUGAAAGCCCACAGCUCAACUGUGGAACUGCCCUGGAUACUGGCGGGCUUGAGUCCAGACGAGGUUGGCGGAAUGGAAGCUGUAGCGGUGAAAUGCAUAGAUAGCUUCCAGAACCCCGAUUGCGUAGGCAGCUGACUAGGCUGGUACUGACACUGAGGCACGAAAGCGUGGGGAGCGAACAGGAUUAGAUACCCUAGUAGUCC